This 481-nucleotide ribosomal RNA is filed under the name uncultured bacterium. RNAcentral describes it as "partial 16S ribosomal RNA". It matches the Rfam family "Bacterial small subunit ribosomal RNA", at positions 28 to 507 of the family's 1533-position model. The record is from RNAcentral.
GAUGAACGCUGGCGGCGUGCUUAACACAUGCAAGUCGAACGAAGCACUUUAUUUGAUUUCCUUCGGGACUGAUUAUUUUGUGACUGAGUGGCGGACGGGUGAGUAACGCGUGGGUAACCUGCCUUGUACAGGGGGAUAACAGUUGGAAACGGCUGCUAAUACCGCAUAAGCGCACGGCAUCGCAUGAUGCAGUGUGAAAAACUCCGGUGGUAUAAGAUGGACCCGCGUUGGAUUAGCUAGUUGGUGAGGUAACGGCCCACCAAGGCGACGAUCCAUAGCCGACCUGAGAGGGUGACCGGACACAUUGGGACUGAGACGCGGCCCAAACUCCUACGGGAGGCAGCAGUGGGGAAUAUUGCACAAUGGGCGAAAGCCUGAUGCAGCGACGCCGCGUGAGCGAAGAAGUAUUUCGGUAUGUAAAGCUCUAUCAGCAGGGAAGAUAAUGACGGUACCUGACUAAGAAGCACCGGCUAAAUACGUG